UAUGAUUCUCCCACUACGACUAAGCACUACAUAAUCACACUUUCAUGAUCUUGAGUCUUAAUAUUUUCUUCAAAAUCUUUCGAUAUUGAAAUAUUAACAACUUUUCAUGUAGUGUUCUUCAAUUUGCUCAACAUCACUUCCACUACUUGAGAUAGUAGUUUUCUUAUGUCUAGCAACAUUUCUCCCACUACUUAAAUGCAAUGGAACGUCAUUU
RNAcentral lists this long non-coding RNA (214 nucleotides) under Solanum tuberosum (potato). RNAcentral describes it as "long non-coding RNA (STUB_LNC006559)". The record is from RNAcentral. Lineage: Eukaryota; Viridiplantae; Streptophyta; Magnoliopsida; Solanales; Solanaceae.